CUACGGGGCGCACCAGUGGGGAAUAUUGGACAAUGGGGGAAACCCUGAUCCAGCAAUGCCGCGUGUGUGAAGAAGGCCUGCGGGUUGUAAAGCACUUUCGGUUGGGAGGACUGCUUCUAGCACUAAUAUUGUUGGAAGUUGACGUUACCUUCAGAAGAAGCACCGGCUAACUCCGUGCCAGCAGCCGCGGUAAUACGGAGGGUGCAGGCGUUAAUCGGAAUUACUGGGCGUAAAGCGCGCGUAGGCGGCUAGAUCAGUCGGGUGUGAAAGCCCCGGGCUUAACCUGGGAACUGCAUCCGAUACUGUCUAGCUUGAGUACAGGAGAGGAGAGUGGAAUUCCACAUGUAGCGGUGAAAUGCGUAGAUAUGUGGAGGAACACCAAUGGCGAAGGCAGCUCUCUGGCCUGAUACUGACGCUGAGGUGCGAAAGCGUGGGGAGCAAACAGGAUUAGAUACCCUCGUAGUC
RNAcentral lists this ribosomal RNA (465 nucleotides) under uncultured bacterium. Its description in RNAcentral is "partial 16S ribosomal RNA". It matches the Rfam family "Bacterial small subunit ribosomal RNA", at positions 339 to 795 of the family's 1533-position model. The record is from RNAcentral.